This is a long non-coding RNA of Magnolia sinica, 1344 nucleotides long. RefSeq lists it as uncharacterized. The record is from RefSeq and is a predicted model, not a curated record. The transcript has 4 exons. Lineage: Eukaryota; Viridiplantae; Streptophyta; Magnoliopsida; Magnoliales; Magnoliaceae.
UUUCUAGUUACUCUGUAUGAUGUUUGGCUUGUUCUUUGUUUUUUCUUUUAGUACUCUGUAGUUCAUCGAUAUUUAUAGUCUGCAUGAAUUUUGCACUAUAUAUUUGAAUAUAUUUAUAGUCUUAGGCUCCAUUUAGUCAUCACAUUGGUAUUUAUGAAUGUAAAUUUAUCUCAAACCAAAUGGAGCUUAAGCCCUUUUUUAACUCCGCCAAUGCAACUCCUUGCAUUGCCAGUCCCAACCCCGGGUAAAGGAGGAGGGAGAAGGGCUUCAAGGUGAGUUUUAUUUUUUUUUUCCAUUUUUUGAAGCUGUUAUAAUUUUUGAGUUUAUUUUUGCUUGCAAGCUGGCAGAUUUGCUCGCAUAUGUUGGCGUAUGGCCUUACAAUUCUUAGAGGUACAUUCAGGCUUUGACUUCUCAGAGGUACAUUCGAGCUAGCAGAUUUGCCAACUAACAGAUUUUCUCAUGUAUGGUACGAUCUGCUACACUCGACACAUGGCUUCCAGAACAGGUUGCAUUUAUUCAAACAAUGAGAAAUGAGAAGUCAAAUAGCUACUGGGAAGCAGGACUGCCUCCAAAUUACAACAGAAAUCUUUUGGUGGGCUCUAGUUGAUGAAUAGCCUGGAUCCAUCACACGUGCUGCGAAUCACCUUAGCACCCAUCUUCUACGUAACAUCUAUUUGUUUGUGGUCUAAACACCUUGGUCUUAUUGGAUGUCUUUCACUUAGCAAUACCAGAUUUCUUGUGCAUCAACAAAAGCUUUGUGUUUUCCGGAAUUGUGCAUGGUAAAAUGGGAUUUCACAAACUUGUUAGCAUGCCUGACUUGAGCUGACAAAACAGGUUUCUUCUAAUUUAAAAGCAGAGCCGGUCCCGGUGCAGGCUGAUUCAACACAGAAAGUGCAACCUACACCCAAUAUCCCACCUCCAAAGGUUGUCGAAAUCAUUGACUGGUAUGAGACAAUGCAUUCCAGAGAGCUCAAGUGGCAAUAAGCUUGCAUUUAUACAAGACCCGAAAAUGGACAAAACCUACACCAGGACAGUAAUGGUAAGAUUUCCUUGUAAUUAUCAUCAUCUGCUGAUUGUAAAAUUUCCCCCUUUGUCUGGGAUUUAUCUCUCUGCUGAACUGUAACUGCAUUUUAGAGAUGUGUUAAGAUCACUAAAAGUUCUAGGAUUUCAGCUCAGCGAUUGAGCUUUAGAAGAGUGAUUCUUCUAUUAUUUUUUUAGUUGUGUGAUCCUUAUGAAGCUGUUGAACUCCUUAUGGAUGAAAGAUUCUUGUUUGUGUCUUGAUGAUUUCCUGCUGCUUUUCUGGAUAUAUUUGGAUCAGUCUUGACAUGUGAAACAUUUACUUGU